This 448-nucleotide ribosomal RNA is filed under the name uncultured bacterium. RNAcentral's name for it is "bacterial SSU rRNA". It matches the Rfam family "Bacterial small subunit ribosomal RNA", at positions 355 to 796 of the family's 1533-position model. The record is from RNAcentral.
UCGAGAAUUUUUCUCAAUGGGGGAAACCCUGAAGGAGCGACGCCGCGUGGAGGAUGAAGGCUUUCGGGUUGUAAACUCCUGUCAUUUGGGAACAAGGCUCCGAAAUUAACUGUUUCGGAGUUGAUAGUACCAGAAGAGGAAGAGACGGCUAACUCUGUGCCAGCAGCCGCGGUAAUACAGAGGUCUCAAGCGUUGUUCGGAUUCAUUGGGCGUAAAGGGUGCGUAGGUGGCGCCGUAAGUCGGGUGUGAAAUUUCGGAGCUUAACUCCGAAACUGCAUUCGAUACUGCGGUGCUUGAGGACUGGAGAGGAGACUGGAAUUCAUGGUGUAGCAGUGAAAUGCGUAGAUAUCAUGAGGAAGACCAGUGGCGAAGGCGGGUCUCUGGACAGUUCCUGACACUGAGGCACGAAGGCCAGGGGAGCAAACGGGAUUAGAUACCCGUGUAGUCC